GGAGUUAGCCGGUGCUUCUUCUGCGAGUAACGUCACAGAUGUAAGGUAUUAACUUACACCCUUUCCUCCUCGCUGAAAGUGCUUUACAACCCGAAGGCCUUCUUCACACACGCGGCAUGGCUGCAUCAGGGUUUCCCCCAUUGUGCAAUAUUCCCCACUGCUGCCUCCCGUAGGAGUCUGGGCCGUGUCUCAGUCCCAGUGUGGCUGAUCAUCCUCUCAGACCAGCUAGGGAUCGUCGCCUAGGUGAGCCUUUACCUCACCUACUAGCUAAUCCCACCUGGGCUUAUCCAUCAGCGCAAGGCCCGAAGGUCCCCUGCUUUCCCCCGUAGGGCGUAUGCGGUAUUAGCAGUCGUUUCCAACUGUUAUCCCCCACAAAUGGGCAAAUUCCCAGGCAUUACUCACCCGUCCGCCGCUCGUCAUCUUCAAAAGCAAGCUUUUGAAAUGUUACCGCUCGACUUGCAUGUGUUAGGCCUGCCGCCAGCGUUCAAAUCUGAGCCAGAAUCAAACUCUGA
RNAcentral lists this ribosomal RNA (512 nucleotides) under uncultured bacterium. RNAcentral describes it as "partial 16S ribosomal RNA". The record is from RNAcentral.